AACGAACGCUGGCGGCAGGCUUAACACAUGCAAGUCGAACGCCCCGCAAGGGGAGUGGCGCACGGGUGAGUACCGCGUGGAUAUCUGCCUUUUGGUUCGGAAUAACCCCGGGAAACUGGGGCUAAUACCGGAUGGUUCCUACGGGAUAAAGCUUUAUCGCCAAAAGAUGAGUCCGCGUACGAUUAGCUAGUUGGUGAGGUAAUGGCUCACCAAGGCGACGAUCGUUAGCUGGUCUGAGAGGACGAUCAGCCACACUGGGACUGAGACACGGCCCAGACUCCUACGGGAGGCAGCAGUGGGGAAUAUUGGACAAUGGGGGCAACCCUGAUCCAGCCAUGCCGCGUGAGUGAUGAAGGCCUUCGGGUUGUAAAGCUCUUUUGGCGGGGACGAUGAUGACGGUACCCGCAGAAUAAGCCCCGGCUAACUUCGUG
This 431-nucleotide ribosomal RNA is filed under the name uncultured bacterium. Its description in RNAcentral is "partial 16S ribosomal RNA". It matches the Rfam family "Bacterial small subunit ribosomal RNA", at positions 29 to 507 of the family's 1533-position model. The record is from RNAcentral.